GGCGAGCGUUAUCCGGAUUUAUUGGGCGUAAAGAGUGCGUAGGCGGUCAAACAAGUUUUCCGUUAAAGCCCGGGGCUCAACUCCGGAAAUGCGGGAAAUACUGUUUGGCUGGAGGAAGGCAGGGGCUGUCGGAACUUGGGGAGGAGGGGUGAAAUCCUGUGAUCCCCCACGGAACACCGAAGGCGAAGGCAGACAGCUGGGCCUUUCCUGACGCUAAGGCACGAAAGCUAGGGGGGCAAAACGGAUUAGAUACCCGUGUAGUCCUAGCCGUAAACGAUCCUCGCUAGAUUUUGGGCAUUGCUCAGAGUCGAAGCUAACGCAUUAAGCGAGGCGCCUGGGGAUUACGGCCGCAAGGCUAAAACUCAAAGGAAUUGACGGGGACCCGCACAAGCGGUGGAGCGUGUGGUUUAAUUCGAUGAUAACCGAAGAACCUCACCAGGGCUUGACAUGCAGGUGGUAGUGAACCGAAAGGGGAACGACCCGCAAGGAAGCCUGCACAGGUGUUGCAUGGCUGUCGUCAGCUCGUGCCGUGAGGUGUAUGCUUAAGUGCCGAAACGAGCGCAACCCCUACUCUAUGUUAGAAAUGUCAUAGGGAACUGCCUCCGUAAGGGGGAGGAAGGUGGGGACGACGUCAAGUCAGUAUGGCCCUUAUGCCCUGGGCGACACACACGCUACAAUGGCGGCUACAGAGGGUUGCAAUGUGUAACGCGGAGCUAUCUCUUAAAAGCCGUCUCAGUUCGGAUUGGGUCUGCAACUCGACCCCAUGAAGUCGGAAUCGCUAGUAAUGCCCGGUCAGCUAUAC
RNAcentral lists this ribosomal RNA (802 nucleotides) under uncultured bacterium. Its description in RNAcentral is "bacterial SSU rRNA". It matches the Rfam family "Bacterial small subunit ribosomal RNA", at positions 533 to 1357 of the family's 1533-position model. The record is from RNAcentral.